Molecule: unclassified non-coding RNA, 264 nt
Filed under: Hevea brasiliensis (rubber tree)
Lineage: Eukaryota; Viridiplantae; Streptophyta; Magnoliopsida; Malpighiales; Euphorbiaceae
Source: RNAcentral
CAGGUUCAAGAAGUGGAAAUAUUACCUACCGAGGAAGCUCAGGUUGAGAAAGAUGUCAAAAUGACUGAUAACAUUGGACAUCCAGACGUUGUUGAAGAAACCCCUGCUGAUGUUCCUGAAGCUACUAAACUAAAUGAGGAGGAAAAGGAUGUACAGAUUCAAGAAUCAGAAAACAAACCUAAUGAAGAAGCUCAGGUUGAAAAAGAUGUCAACAAUGUUGAAGAGGCUCUUGCUGAAAAAGCAGCGGAGGAAAAGGAUGUACAG